UUUGUAAUCGGUAAAUCGGUUUAAUUUAUUUUGAAUGUUCGAAAUGUAGGCUUUGGAAAUAAUGAGACAACUACUUCCUUGUUCCAGUAUCUAUACAAAUUAAAAUCUAAAAUAUUUGCCUUUGCUGUGUUUUUCAUAUAAUAUUGACAAUAAAGUAUACAAGAAGGAAGACAAUUUAUUGAAAAAAGAUACUGAAAUCUACUUUACAACAGUCUGGAACAAUUGGAUUCAAGAACACAGAUCAUUAUUACCGUCAAGAAACAAUAAUGGCUACGUGUACAUGUGUCUUGAGUCUCCUAAGAGAUAUGACUUAAAUAAACUCAAGGGUGUUACAAUUUUACAUAGUUGUUUAUCUAAGAUGAACACUGAUAUAUGAAAUUGGCUAUUGUACAUCUUGUGAAGCAAUUAAAGGGAUACUGAGAUUGGAUGUAAUAAACAGCAACAUUUUACCAAUAUCUAUAAAUCUAUGUAAAAUAAUGUGAAAAAACCAUUUUUAUAAAAUAAUUUAAUACCUUUAACUUUUUAAGAUAUAUUGUUUCUAUUGAUAUUUUUUUUAUACAAUUUUUUUAUGAAAGCUUCAAAAAUAUACAGAAUUAUGUUUGAAAAUAAUUAAAAUAAAUCCUAAUGUCUAAGUCUUAUCAUCAUAUUUUCAUUGAGUUUAGAAAAACCGAUACCGUAAUAAAUGUCAGUUCAAUUUUUUUUUAUUCUUUCCAUAAACACCGGUGCUUAAGCGUGGACGAAAAACGCAUUAUUUUCAUUACCUCAACAGUCUGAUGAUACAUCCACAAAACAUAUGUACAUAGGCAUCAAGUUUGAAAAAACUUAAUGGACGCUUUGGUAUCAGGCAUAAAUGCACAAAUUGGGGAAUGGGGCUUAGCCUCUAGUCAAUACAAUGUCCACGUAAAAUCCAAUAUUCUAAUGGGUGCCCAAUACCCCAUAAUAAUUUUAAUAAGUGUCUGAGCCCUCCGGGCACCCAUGUACAUGGCGACUAUGAAUAUAGCUCUUAAUCGAACAGUUUCCCAACUGCUUUUACUUGCGGAACCUAUGCAGGAGCUUGA
Molecule: long non-coding RNA, 1058 nt
Organism: Rhopalosiphum padi (bird cherry-oat aphid)
Lineage: Eukaryota; Metazoa; Arthropoda; Insecta; Hemiptera; Aphididae
Exons: 4
Source: RefSeq, a predicted model, not a curated record